This 259-nucleotide long non-coding RNA is filed under the name Elaeis guineensis (African oil palm). RNAcentral's name for it is "long non-coding RNA (EGUI_LNC052675)". Lineage: Eukaryota; Viridiplantae; Streptophyta; Magnoliopsida; Arecales; Arecaceae. The record is from RNAcentral.
UCCGAAUGUCGGGUACCAUUGGUAGAUGAUCACUUUGAUUAGUACAGAAAUUGAUUCCUGUGCUACUGGCUUAGAUUCGAACCUACGGGGUCACACACAUUAGAGGUUCCUAUCUGAUCUGAUGGCUGGUGAAGAGUCUCACUGGACUGAAACUCUUCGACCAAGAGUCCUAAUGCUCGAAGACUCUGUGAUUGAGAAUCAAGAUUCUCUGAUCAUGAGUUCUACACAUUUUGGGUACCGGGGUCAAGAGUCCCACUGG